Molecule: microRNA, 22 nt
Filed under: Bos taurus (domestic cattle)
Lineage: Eukaryota; Metazoa; Chordata; Mammalia; Artiodactyla; Bovidae
Also listed under: 1 other name
Description: Bta-Mir-34-P2a_3p* (star (passenger))
Source: RNAcentral
AAUCACUAGUUCCACUGCCAUC